RNAcentral lists this ribosomal RNA (447 nucleotides) under uncultured soil bacterium. RNAcentral's name for it is "bacterial SSU rRNA". It matches the Rfam family "Bacterial small subunit ribosomal RNA", at positions 26 to 518 of the family's 1533-position model. The record is from RNAcentral.
AGAACGAACGCUGGCGGCAUGCCUAACACAUGCAAGUCGAACGAACCCUUCGGGGUUAGUGGCGCACGGGUGCGUAACGCGUGGGAAUCUGCCCUUCGGUUCGGAAUAACAGUUAGAAAUGACUGCUAAUACCGGAUAAUGUCGCAAGACCAAAGAUUUAUCGCCGAGGGAUGAGCCCGCGUAGGAUUAGCUAGUUGGUGAGGUAAAGGCUCACCAAGGCGACGAUCCUUAGCUGGUCUGAGAGGAUGAUCAGCCACACUGGGACUGAGACACGGCCCAGACUCCUACGGGAGGCAGCAGUGGGGAAUAUUGGACAAUGGGCGAAAGCCUGAUCCAGCAAUGCCGCGUGAGUGAUGAAGGCCCUCGGUCGUAAAGCUCUUUUACCAGGGAUGAUAAUGACAGUACCUGAGAAUAAGCUUCCGGCUAACCUCGUGCCAGCGAGCCGAC